RNAcentral lists this transfer RNA (95 nucleotides) under Candidatus Vecturithrix granuli. Its description in RNAcentral is "Selenocysteine transfer RNA". It matches the Rfam family "Selenocysteine transfer RNA". The record is from Rfam by way of RNAcentral. Lineage: Bacteria; Candidatus Moduliflexota; Candidatus Vecturitrichia; Candidatus Vecturitrichales; Candidatus Vecturitrichaceae.
AGGCUGGUUUAGGGAGCCGGUGCUCCCCGCGGGCUGCAAACCCGUUUGAGAUCGCUGAACAGGCGGUCUGUUCGGUUCAACUCCGAACCCAGCCU